AUACUGUUGUACUUUGCUGAACGUGUUAUGUCAGAUUAAACAUGUGCUGAAUGUUUUUUAAUUACAACGCUUAGAAGAAAAUUCUAAAGCAUGUUGCCACACAGUUAAUAUGUGGGUUUAAAGGUUAUAUAUGCCCUGAUGAGAGGAACUGGCUAGGUUAUCAAGAUCCAUAUUUUAUUUUGAGGCAAGAAGGCUGAUGCAAGCCCUGAAGUGACCUGACAGUUUGCUGGCAAGUUUGUGAGAGUGACAGAAGCACCACUGCUCAUCACAUGAAUUCCUCCAGACACCCGGGCUCCAGCCUCCCUCCUAAGGCUUCAAACCUAAAGGCACACAGAAUAGUGUCCUACUGCUCCCCUAUUUCAGUGACCUCCCUGUGAGCCUUUCCCCCCGCUGUCAGAGUGCAGGGGUAUGACAGGAUGGACAGUGCACAUCCCAGUUCAGCACAGCACCGAGAACUCAAGGACUCCCUUUCAACAAGGCAGGUACGAGCAUCUUAUGCCCUGGGGGCUGAAUGCAUGGAAUGAAAUUCACAAUCUGCUCCAAGAAGAAAUGCAGUCUGUUCAUCACCAUGUGCAAGGCACUAAAAUCCUCUCCAGAAGUCUUCCUCAUAUUGGUCUGCAGUGCUUCUCUGUGCUGGAUGUACUUCUGUACAAACACACCAGUGCUUGACAAGAAAGAUCCACUGUCCAGAACUGUUCGACAUACAGCUGAAAGCAAGCCAGGUUUCUAUUUAAUAAAAAUGUGAGAAUAAAAACAACUUCUUUUGAUCUCUUCUCAUUUCACUAUAUGUUCUUGAAGUACCUAAAUACUGUUUAUUUACACUUGAAAUUGGUGCUGCUGAACUACGACAGCAGAGCUUUACUGAUGGUGUGAUUAACCUCAUCUCCCAUUUUGC
RNAcentral lists this long non-coding RNA (895 nucleotides) under Corvus moneduloides (New Caledonian crow). Its description in RNAcentral is "lncRNA (ENSCMUG00000018249.1)". Lineage: Eukaryota; Metazoa; Chordata; Aves; Passeriformes; Corvidae. The record is from RNAcentral.